CGCCUGGGGAGUGCGGUCGCAAGACUAAAACUCAAAGGAAUUGACGGGACCCCGCACAAGCGGCGGAGCAUGCGGCUUAAUUCGAUGAUACCCGUAGAACCUUACCUGGACUAGACAUAUAGGGAAAAGCAUAGAAAUAUAGUGUGCGUAAGCGCCCUAACAGGUGGUGCAUGGCUGUCGUCAGCUCGUGUUGUGAGAUGUUGGGUUAAGUCCCGCAACGAGCGCAACCCACGUCUUUAGUUGCCAGCAUUUAUUGGGCACUCUAGAGAGACCGCCGGUGAUAAACCGGAGGAAGGUGUGGAUGACGUCAAGUCAUCAUGCCCCUUACAUCCUGGGCUACACACGUACUACAAUGCUACGGACAAAGAGCAGCAAGUUCGCGAGGACAAGCAAAUCUCAUAAACCGUGGCUCAGUUCAGAUCGUAGGCUGCAACUCGCCUACGUGAAGGAGGAAUCGCUAGUAAUCGCAGGUCAGAUACUGCGGUGAAUACGUUCCCGGGCCUUGAACACACCGCCCGUC
This 520-nucleotide ribosomal RNA is filed under the name uncultured bacterium. Its description in RNAcentral is "bacterial SSU rRNA". It matches the Rfam family "Bacterial small subunit ribosomal RNA", at positions 870 to 1398 of the family's 1533-position model. The record is from RNAcentral.